GACGAACGCUGGCGGCGUGCUUAACACAUGCAAGUCGAACGGAAAGGCCCCUUUGGGGGUACUCGAGUGGCGCACGGGUGAGUAACACGUGAGUAACCUGCCCUUGACUUCGGGAUAACUUCAGGAAACUGGGGCUAAUACCGGAUAGGAAUCCUUGCUGCAUGGUGGGGGUUGGAAAGCUUCGGCGGUUUUGGAUGGACUCGCGGCUUAUCAGCUUGUUGGUGGGGUAGUGGCUUACCAAGGCUUUGACGGGUAGCCGGCCUGAGAGGGCGACCGGCCACAGUGGGACUGAGAUACGGCCCAGACUCCUACGGGAGGGAGCAGUGGGGAAUAUUGCACAAUGGGCGGAAGCCUGAUGCAGCAACGCCGCGGGCGGGAUGACGGCCUUCGGGUUGUAAACCGCUUUCAGCAGGGGCGAAGCUUGUGGUGACGGUACCUGCAGAAGAAGCACCGGCUAACUACGUG
RNAcentral lists this ribosomal RNA (465 nucleotides) under uncultured bacterium. RNAcentral's name for it is "partial 16S ribosomal RNA". It matches the Rfam family "Bacterial small subunit ribosomal RNA", at positions 28 to 507 of the family's 1533-position model. The record is from RNAcentral.